CGGUGAGAUCCUCUACCGCGGUGGGUUGGGGAGGCGGAACUGAAAUUUUUUUCGUAAUUAUCAUGUGACGGGUUCUGGAUUUAAUGGGGGGAAAAGUGCGGAAAAGGACAAGGAUCCACACUGGCGAAUUUCCUGAUCUUCGCGCCCGUCCCCGCUGUCCCGCCGGCAGCGUUGCCAGGCGGUGAAGCCCUCUAUUGUCCUGACCCCAUGGUUCCUGUCCCAUAACCAAGGCAAGCUCACCAGGAGCUGCAGCAGCAUGUAAAGUCAGUGCCAUCCCCCAUUCGAGUACCUGAGGAAGGUAUUUCAGGACAGCCAGGUGGGAGUGCACGUCCACCGAGAAACUGAGCAAGAGUGACUGUGCUGAGCCUUUGCGCCACCAGAGGGCGUGCAAACCCAUUCCUGACCAGCUUCCCUCUGAGGUGCCAGAAACAGCAAGGAUCUUCGACCCUCAGGGCAGCACAAGGGUCGUGUCAACUAAGUGUCCUUCAUUGGUGAGUAAAAAACUUCCUUUCCACAGCCCUGAGUGCAGAGAAGAGAGUCUUUAGAGCACUCAGCAAAGGAAGAAACUCAUCUAGAAAAAUGAAAUCGCCAUAUCCCAUCAUUACGACUACACUCUGAUAUUGUCAACAUCCCAGACACAGUGGCUGCUGAGAUACAUUCUCACAGUGGCCUCUAAUAUAAUAAUCACACCGUGCCCUAACAUUACUAUGAUAUCCAUACCGUGCCCUAACACCAGUAUAAUAUCCACACCGUUGCUUCUGAUACUAAUGUAAUACUAUCCACACUGUGCCCUAAUGCUAAUGUAAUAUCUGCACUGUCCUCCAACACCAAUAUAACAUGUACACCAUGCCCUAACACUGAUAUCCACACCAUGCCGUAACACUAAUGUAUCUACACAGUAACCUCUAAUACUAAUAAAUAUAGUAAUAUCUACUAAAUGGAGUCUGUUGACUUUGAGGCUUUUAUAAGGGUUCCAUCUUUGGAUGAAGCGUAACCUCUAUAGUGGAUUUUGAUGAUGUUUCUGCUUUUCUGGAAUAGUAUUGAUAUGGUUAUUUUAAAAAGUAAUUUACUUUUUAAUACUGUCAUUCUUCUAGGAAGCUUCCAGUAGCAGUGCAAAAUACAACCUGUUUCUUUUCUUAGAGUCCCCAGCAGUUAUUGCUGUGCUAGAUUCGCAAUAUUCCACAAAGUACUCCAGCGUAUUUUACCCAAAGCAUGGACACUCUCCCAGGUACAUAACCAC
Long non-coding RNA from Sapajus apella (tufted capuchin), 1240 nucleotides. RefSeq lists it as uncharacterized. The record is from RefSeq and is a predicted model, not a curated record. The transcript is spliced from 3 exons. Lineage: Eukaryota; Metazoa; Chordata; Mammalia; Primates; Cebidae.